ACUCCUACGGGAGGCAGCAGUGGGGAAUUUUGGACAAUGGGGGCAACCCUGAUCCAGCCAUUCCGCGUGAGUGAAGAAGGCCUUCGGGUUGUAAAGCUCUUUCGGCAGGAACGAAACGGUGAGUUCUAACAUAGCUUGCUAAUGACGGUACCUGAAGAAGAAGCACCGGCUAACUACGUGCCAGCAGCCGCGGUAAUACGUAGGGUGCGAGCGUUAAUCGGAAUUACUGGGUGUAAAGUGUGCGCAGGCGGUUGUGUAAGACAGGUGUGAAAUCCCCGGGCUUAACCUGGGAACUGCGCUUGUGACUGCACGGCUAGAGUAUGGCAGAGGGGGGUGGAAUUCCACGUGUAGCAGUGAAAUGCGUAGAGAUGUGGAGGAACACCGAUGGCGAAGGCAGCCCCCUGGGCCAAUACUGACGCUCAUGCACGAAAGCGUGGGGAGCAAACAGGAUUAGAUACCCUGGUAGUC
Molecule: ribosomal RNA, 468 nt
Filed under: uncultured bacterium
Lineage: Bacteria
Description: bacterial SSU rRNA
Rfam family: Bacterial small subunit ribosomal RNA
Source: RNAcentral